CAGUCGCCGCGGUAAUACGGAGGGUGCAAGCGUUACUCGGAAUUACUGGGCGUAAAGCGUGCGUAGGUGGUGGUUUAAGUCCGUUGUGAAAGCCCUGGGCUCAACCUGGGAAUUGCAGUGGAUACUGGGUCACUAGAGUGUGGUAGAGGAUAGUGGAAUUUCCGGUGUAGGAGUGAAAUGCGUAGAGGUCGGAAGGAACAUCUGUGGCGAAGGCGACUAUCUGGGCCAACACUGACACUGAGACACGAAAGCGUGGGGAGCAAACAGGAUUAGAUACCCCAGUAGUCCCUGUCUCUUAUAC
This 301-nucleotide ribosomal RNA is filed under the name uncultured bacterium. RNAcentral describes it as "partial 16S ribosomal RNA". It matches the Rfam family "Bacterial small subunit ribosomal RNA", at positions 509 to 807 of the family's 1533-position model. The record is from RNAcentral.